GUGCACUGAGACACAUGAAACAUAUUUGUUUUCAAGGUGAAGUGAAUGAGUGAAAUUAAAUACGCCUUGGCUUAUAGAUUAUUACAUUAUAUAUUUAACAUAGACUUAACAUCAUGUAGUCCGAAUAUAUACACUUAUUAUAGGCGUAUCAUAGUGAUUCAGGAUAAGACAAAAACACAGGUUGGAAGAUUAUUACUCAUUAAAUACAUUUUGUAAAUUUUGAACAAAAGUUAUAUGGUAUAGUAAAUGUACCUCUACUGACAGUCUACGCAACUGAAGUGAAAGUGCGUCAGAGUUCACCUGUCGACAUUUUAAGCAGGUAAAAUACCAAUACCAUAGAUGAUUAAUAGAAACGUUCAUCAAAGUUUAAGCAAGAAUUUCUGUGUAUCUUUAUGAUGUUAAAGCUGGAGGAUUUGAGAAGCUGUAUCUUGUAAUAGUUUGAUCGAGGUGAGUGUUCAUGUGUGGUGACUUCCUCAUAUUAAUAUGAAUUUCUGGAGGACAUUUUGAGUGAUUGUUUUUUUUAUAUAUAUAAAUUCUUUAAUAAAGGGUUUCUUUCACUGUGAUUCUUUAGAAGUUUAACAGCAUAUGUGUAAACAUGAAUGAGUCACAUGAUCCUUUUUCUCCCACACUCGAGAUAUGUUCAGUUAAAUUAGAAAGGUUGUUUAAUUUAAUAAUUGAAUUUAGUGUCUGAAUGUUUUGUUCAUUCAGAGUCAGUGGAGGAGAUCAAACUCAUCAGAUUCUCCUGCAGCUUCAUCAUGGCUGAUUCAGAUAUUAAAGAGUUUAUGUCAAGUAAGGAAUAAAUGACGAUGGGUCUUUAAAUUCUUAGAAAAUAAUGCACACCCGAGGUGGUAAUGUGGCCACGGCGUGAAGAGGGUCUCAUCCUUGGUGAACAGUUUCAGGUCAUCCAUGUAAAAUAGGAGUCUGACUUCACUGUUAUUGUCGACUUCAAAUCCAAUACAUCGUCUGUUUAGCAUGUUUGUUAGAGGUAUCAUCGCUAAACAACAAAAUCCAUUGCUGCCAAAAUUCAGAAAUGGGGUAGAUUGUCAAAUGUUUUUUUCUAGUCUAUCCGCGCCCCAGGAUUCUUAGGCAAUUCUUGGCUAUUGAAACAACCAUUUUGCUCACUAGCAGCUGAUCUUUUACAUCCUCUAGACGCCCUUCUACAACCUUUCUGUUCAUCAGUUUUCAUUUAGUAGAUCCGAUCCGUUAACGCAGCUGUCAGUAUCUUAUAUGUUGUUGGGAGGCAAGUGAUAGGACAAUAGUUCCUCGGGUCCUUUGUAUCCUUGCCUUUUGAGAGCAGGAAGGUGGUUCAGAUGUUAACCACACAGGAAUACUCCUUGGAUCAUUCAUGAUAUGAUUCAAAGCUUUUGUUAGUACUUCAUGAAGAGCUGUUAAUGGUUUAAAGCAGAAGUUUUGAAUUGUAUCUGGCCCAGGAGAUUUCCAGUUCUGAGUUUGUUUGAUGACCUGAACUCUCUUCAGCUGUGAAGUUCUGCCAUGAAUUUGAUCUCAUCUGUUCAUGGUUAUUCCUCUUCUGUUCGAUCCAUGUUGCUUUAUCAUUGUGGACGAUAUUGUCUUCAAGGAUUCCACGCCAAAUAAUUGUGACUUGGUCCUGAGAAGGUGGUUCAAUGAUGCCAGUUUUCUGAUUGUUCAUCUGAUGAUAGAAGUUUUUAGCAUCUUCGUUGAAGAUUUUGUUCUGAUGGAAGUGAUUACUUCUUUUUGUGUUCCUUCUCCAUCUUUGAGCUUUUGGUGUGGUGAUGAUAAAAUAGACAAGUAAUGAUAAUAAAUAGAUUCAAAACAAAGCUGGAGCUACAGAC
Ctenopharyngodon idella (grass carp) is the source of this 1811-nucleotide long non-coding RNA. RefSeq lists it as uncharacterized. The transcript has 3 exons. NCBI's taxonomy places the organism in Eukaryota, Metazoa, Chordata, Actinopteri, Cypriniformes, Xenocyprididae. The record is from RefSeq and is a predicted model, not a curated record.